Non-coding RNA from Cyanistes caeruleus (blue tit), 2541 nucleotides. Lineage: Eukaryota; Metazoa; Chordata; Aves; Passeriformes; Paridae. The record is from RefSeq and is a predicted model, not a curated record.
GCUCGGCUGCGCGGGGGGAGGAGCCGCCCCGGCGCGCGCCCCCACAGGCGGUGCGGGAGCCGCCAUUGCUGCGGGAGUAACCCUCGCGCCUCGGAACUGCUCCGUUCCUCCUCUGCCUCUUACCCUGCGAUGGAUGGGCCACUGGCAGAGUGAUUUCUGCGCCCGGGCUGAGUGACGCUGUGUGGCGAGGGUGGUUGGGCCGCUGACCUCCUCCUCCUCCUCACUGUAGCUCCGGGCCAAGUGAUGUUCUGCAGCCAAAACUGCUGGAGAGAGCUUGGCUGGAUGUUAAACUGUUGGUGAGGGUGGAAAUGCACAAAGGGAAAGGCUGAAGGAGGAUGGUGCCCCCGAGAGGUUUUAGUUUUGUGAAGGAACUCGAUUUUUCUAAACCAGACUGCUGAGUUGUCACCUCAGAGGUGAAACCUCCUUAAUGCAUCUGACCAUGGCCAUCCAAACCAUCCCAUUCUUUUUAGAGCUUGCUGUCAGAGACGUCUCAAGCUGAAGGGCAGCCAUCCUCUGGUAUCAGCAUGUCAGUAAAUUCCUCAGUGGAAAGGAGAGGCUUGUACUGAAGGUGGUGAAAGGAAGGAGCCUGCUGAGCUGGAACACCGCUCCCUGGACAAGGGAACAGCUGAUGCUCACUGCAGUCAGCUUGGUGUAACUUACCAGCUCUUCCAUGACAAAUGCUAGAACAAGUGAUUUCCUGAGAAGCUGCACCCUUUUUGAAGGAGUGCUUUUGCAGUCAUCAUCAAUUGGGGACACAUCCUGAAUAAACCCAGAAGAGUGGGUUGCCGUGGCAGAGGGGGAUGAGAGUGGAACUGGCAGAGAAGUAGAAAGGAGAACACAUGAGGAGCACUGUGCCUCUCAGAAAUUCCUUGCUCUCUUUCAAAGAGGGUUGAAUCCAAAGUGUGUCUUGCUGCUGCCUCAACAUCGUUACCACUUUCCUCUGGCCAUGGAUGUCCUACUGUUUCAUUCCUCAGAGUUAUCCAUGCCUCAGCCACCUCCUGUUAUCCCACUGGCUCUAUGGCAUCUUAGUCUGUGCUCUUUCGGAAGGGUGGAGGAGGCCUCCCUAGUAUGAGGAAUGUCCACAGCUGCAGACGUGGUGCUAACAGCAGAACCACCUGUUUUGUAGCUUGCACAAGCUGAAGCUAUUGUGUGACACAAAGUGCUUCAGUUUCUUGGGAGCUGACUAUAGUCAUUCUUAGGUAACCAGCUACACCAGUUACAAGUGAGCGUUUUUGCUGCCAUUCUAUGAAUUUUUCCUUUGAACUUUAUGAGUCAUGCUAUAAUAGAAGGUUUAGACAUGUUUUCCACUCAAUGUAAGGUUUAGACACAUUUUCCACGUAGCAGGAAAACCUCCUAGGAAACAAUUAGGAUGAAAGGCUAAAACAUUUUCCUCAGCUUUCAAGUCUGGCAAAUUUCAAAUGACUCAACACCACAAUUAUUUUUUCCUUCAUGCAUCAUUCUAGAAAAAAGGGCUGUUAUUUGAUGAGUUGCAGGUUUUCUCCACCAUUUUAAUUUUGUCUUCAGAUUUUCAUUUUGCAGGCAGGACAUUUUCAAUGGCCAUAUAUGAAGCUGACCUCUGGCUGGGAAGGGCACUUGUCAAAAUAGUACGGGAAACCUGUGUGCCUAGAGGCUUGUAAAAAUGGUUGUGUUUAGAGGAAUUUUGACUUUCAGCAUAGUUCACUCUAUCAGAAAGAGUGAAUUAUUUUUAAGUCUUAUUCAUUAAGAUAAUAUGCAGUAUGUUGACAAAAGAAAACUCUUUGUCAGUAGUUUGGAAUGGUUGUUGAAGACAAUGUAGUUUCUCUACUUGAAGUACUUUAUUGAGGUUGUUUCUUUCCCUCAUGGUCAGUGUGAAACACAAGCAAUAGAACCUGUUUCACCAAAGCUGUAAAACCCUACUGAUAGCCCUAGUGGGUGCUCUUGAGUAAUUUGAAAUUUAAGCUGUAGUCCUGUCGAUCAAGUCCUAUGGCACAGGAGAGCUAUCAAAUGUAAAGGUCUCUUUGGUUCAGUUACAUACCUCAUGGAAAUAUUUUUUUUUCUUGAAAGAUGAGUGUGGUAAUAAAGCUUUGAGCCAGUGUACCUUUUCUGAUAUUUCUCUUCAUGUAUUUGCCACUACAAAUAACGUAUUUUAUAAUAUGUACAGAUAAAUAUAUGUGUGUAUAUAUUGACUUGUGAUGCUCAUAUUUUGAAUGACAAGAGUCACACUGAAAGAGGCAAUAAAGUGUGGGAUGAGAAGGAGAUGAGUGUGAAGGCUGAAGUAUCAUCAGGAGAUGAAGUGCCAGUCUGAAGUGUCACUGGAAGAGGAGAUUCAAAUGAAAGCCAGUGGAGAGAACCUCCUAAAUUCUUGCAGCUUUCUGGUGGUCAGCUUUACUGCUAGAAGCUGUGUUGCCUGUCCUUGAGGCUUGAGGCUAAUUCUGGUCUUAAAGUGAGGAUUACUCAGAAGGGACUGAACUAUGGUAUGUCUAACAUUGCCAGAAGUUAAUUUAUCAUAAAUACUCUGUGUACAGAAUAUUGUUUCUUAAUAGAGGUGCAAUGAAGGAACAA